This 262-nucleotide ribosomal RNA is filed under the name Bacillus gaemokensis. RNAcentral describes it as "partial 16S ribosomal RNA". It matches the Rfam family "Bacterial small subunit ribosomal RNA", at positions 519 to 780 of the family's 1533-position model. Lineage: Bacteria; Bacillati; Bacillota; Bacilli; Caryophanales; Bacillaceae. The record is from RNAcentral.
GGUAAUACGUAGGUGGCAAGCGUUAUCCGGAAUUAUUGGGCGUAAAGCGCGCGCAGGUGGUUUCUUAAGUCUGAUGUGAAAGCCCACGGCUCAACCGKGGAGGGUCAUUGGAAACUGGGAGACUUGAGUGCAGAAGAGGAAAGUGGAAUUCCAUGUGUAGCGGUGAAAUGCGUAGAGAUAUGGAGGAACACCAGUGGCGAAGGCGACUUUCUGGUCUGUAACUGACACUGAGGCGCGAAAGCGUGGGGAGCAAACAGGAUUA